Molecule: ribosomal RNA, 2257 nt
Filed under: Escherichia coli
Lineage: Bacteria; Pseudomonadati; Pseudomonadota; Gammaproteobacteria; Enterobacterales; Enterobacteriaceae
Also listed under: 2 other names
Description: partial 23S ribosomal RNA
Rfam family: Bacterial large subunit ribosomal RNA
Source: RNAcentral
GGGCGUUAAGUUGCAGGGUAUAGACCCGAAACCCGGUGAUCUAGCCAUGGGCAGGUUGAAGGUUGGGUAACACUAACUGGAGGACCGAACCGACUAAUGUUGAAAAAUUAGCGGAUGACUUGUGGCUGGGGGUGAAAGGCCAAUCAAACCGGGAGAUAGCUGGUUCUCCCCGAAAGCUAUUUAGGUAGCGCCUCGUGAAUUCAUCUCCGGGGGUAGAGCACUGUUUCGGCAAGGGGGUCAUCCCGACUUACCAACCCGAUGCAAACUGCGAAUACCGGAGAAUGUUAUCACGGGAGACACACGGCGGGUGCUAACGUCCGUCGUGAAGAGGGAAACAACCCAGACCGCCAGCUAAGGUCCCAAAGUCAUGGUUAAGUGGGAAACGAUGUGGGAAGGCCCAGACAGCCAGGAUGUUGGCUUAGAAGCAGCCAUCAUUUAAAGAAAGCGUAAUAGCUCACUGGUCGAGUCGGCCUGCGCGGAAGAUGUAACGGGGCUAAACCAUGCACCGAAGCUGCGGCAGCGACACUGUGUGUUGUUGGGUAGGGGAGCGUUCUGUAAGCCUGUGAAGGUGUGCUGUGAGGCAUGCUGGAGGUAUCAGAAGUGCGAAUGCUGACAUAAGUAACGAUAAAGCGGGUGAAAAGCCCGCUCGCCGGAAGACCAAGGGUUCCUGUCCAACGUUAAUCGGGGCAGGGUGAGUCGACCCCUAAGGCGAGGCCGAAAGGCGUAGUCGAUGGGAAACAGGUUAAUAUUCCUGUACUUGGUGUUACUGCGAAGGGGGGACGGAGAAGGCUAUGUUGGCCGGGCGACGGUUGUCCCGGUUUAAGCGUGUAGGCUGGUUUUCCAGGCAAAUCCGGAAAAUCAAGGCUGAGGCGUGAUGACGAGGCACUACGGUGCUGAAGCAACAAAUGCCCUGCUUCCAGGAAAAGCCUCUAAGCAUCAGGUAACAUCAAAUCGUACCCCAAACCGACACAGGUGGUCAGGUAGAGAAUACCAAGGCGCUUGAGAGAACUCGGGUGAAGGAACUAGGCAAAAUGGUGCCGUAACUUCGGGAGAAGGCACGCUGAUAUGUAGGUGAAGUCCCUCGCGGAUGGAGCUGAAAUCAGUCGAAGAUACCAGCUGGCUGCAACUGUUUAUUAAAAACACAGCACUGUGCAAACACGAAAGUGGACGUAUACGGUGUGACGCCUGCCCGGUGCCGGAAGGUUAAUUGAUGGGGUCAGCGCAAGCGAAGCUCUUGAUCGAAGCCCCGGUAAACGGCGGCCGUAACUAUAACGGUCCUAAGGUAGCGAAAUUCCUUGUCGGGUAAGUUCCGACCUGCACGAAUGGCGUAAUGAUGGCCAGGCUGUCUCCACCCGAGACUCAGUGAAAUUGAACUCGCUGUGAAGAUGCAGUGUACCCGCGGCAAGACGGAAAGACCCCGUGAACCUUUACUAUAGCUUGACACUGAACAUUGAGCCUUGAUGUGUAGGAUAGGUGGGAGGCUUUGAAGUGUGGACGCCAGUCUGCAUGGAGCCGACCUUGAAAUACCACCCUUUAAUGUUUGAUGUUCUAACGUGGACCCGUGAUCCGGGUUGCGGACAGUGUCUGGUGGGUAGUUUGACUGGGGCGGUCUCCUCCUAAAGAGUAACGGAGGAGCACGAAGGUUGGCUAAUCCUGGUCGGACAUCAGGAGGUUAGUGCAAUGGCAUAAGCCAGCUUGACUGCGAGCGUGACGGCGCGAGCAGGUGCGAAAGCAGGUCAUAGUGAUCCGGUGGUUCUGAAUGGAAGGGCCAUCGCUCAACGGAUAAAAGGUACUCCGGGGAUAACAGGCUGAUACCGCCCAAGAGUUCAUAUCGACGGCGGUGUUUGGCACCUCGAUGUCGGCUCAUCACAUCCUGGGGCUGAAGUAGGUCCCAAGGGUAUGGCUGUUCGCCAUUUAAAGUGGUACGCGAGCUGGGUUUAGAACGUCGUGAGACAGUUCGGUCCCUAUCUGCCGUGGGCGCUGGAGAACUGAGGGGGGCUGCUCCUAGUACGAGAGGACCGGAGUGGACGCAUCACUGGUGUUCGGGUUGUCAUGCCAAUGGCACUGCCCGGUAGCUAAAUGCGGAAGAGAUAAGUGCUGAAAGCAUCUAAGCACGAAACUUGCCCCGAGAUGAGUUCUCCCUGACCCUUUAAGGGUCCUGAAGGAACGUUGAAGACGACGACGUUGAUAGGCCGGGUGUGUAAGCGCAGCGAUGCGUUGAGCUAACCGGUACUAAUGAACCGUGAGGCUUAACCUU